This 506-nucleotide ribosomal RNA is filed under the name uncultured bacterium. Its description in RNAcentral is "partial 16S ribosomal RNA". It matches the Rfam family "Bacterial small subunit ribosomal RNA", at positions 29 to 523 of the family's 1533-position model. The record is from RNAcentral.
AGUGAACGCUGGCGGUAGGCCUAACACAUGCAAGUCGAACGGCAGCACAGAGGAGCUUGCUCCUUGGGUGGCGAGUGGCGGACGGGUGAGGAAUACAUCGGAAUCUACUCUGUCGUGGGGGAUAACGUAGGGAAACUUACGCUAAUACCGCAUACGACCUACGGGUGAAAGCAGGGGAUCUUCGGACCUUGCGCGAUUGAAUGAGCCGAUGUCGGAUUAGCUAGUUGGCGGGGUAAAGGCCCACCAAGGCGACGAUCCGUAGCUGGUCUGAGAGGAUGAUCAGCCACACUGGAACUGAGACACGGUCCAGGCUCCUACGGGGGUCAGCAGUGGGGAAUAUUGGACAAUGGGCGCAAGCCUGAUCCAGCCAUACCGCGUGGGUGAAGAAGGCCUUCGGGUUGUAAAGCCCUUUUGUUGGGAAAGAAAUCCAUCUGGUUAAUACCCGAGUGGGAUGACGGUACCCAAAGAAUAAGCACCGGCUAACUUCGUGCCAGCAGCCGCCGUAA